RNAcentral lists this ribosomal RNA (274 nucleotides) under uncultured prokaryote. Its description in RNAcentral is "partial 16S ribosomal RNA". It matches the Rfam family "Bacterial small subunit ribosomal RNA", at positions 524 to 798 of the family's 1533-position model. The record is from RNAcentral.
UACGUAGGGGGCUAGCGUUAUCCGGAAUUACUGGGCGUAAAGGGUGCGUAGGCGGUCUUUCAAGCCAGAAGUGAAAGGCUACGGCUCAACCGUGGUAAGCUUUUGGAACUGUAAGACUUGAGUGCAGGAGAGGAGAGUGGAAUUCCUAGUGUAGCGGUGAAAUGCGUAGAUAUUAGGAGGAACACCAGUAGCGAAGGCGGCUCUCUGGACUGUAACUGACGCUGAGGCACGAAAGCGUGGGGAGCAAACAGGAUUAGAUACCCUGGUAGUCCCU